UCGCGGCCUAUCAGCUUGUUGGUGGGGUAAUGGCCUACCAAGGCGACGACGGGUAGCCGGCCUGAGAGGGCGACCGGCCACACUGGGACUGAGACACGGCCCAGACUCCUACGGGAGGCAGCAGUGGGGAAUAUUGCGCAAUGGGCGAAAGCCUGACGCAGCGACGCCGCGUGAGGGACGAAGGUCUUCGGAUUGUAAACCUCUUUCAGCAGGGACGAAGCGGAAGUGACUGUACCUGCAGAAGGAGCACCGGCUAACUACGUGCCAGCAGCCGCGGUAAUACGUAGGGUGCAAGCGUUGUCCGGAUUUAUUGGGCGUAAAGAGCUCGUAGGCGGUUUGUCGCGUCGGAUGUGAAAACCCAAUGGCUUAACCUUGGGCCUGCAUUCGAUACGGGCAAACUAGAGUGUGGUAGGGGAGACUGGAACUCCUGGUGUAGCGGUGGAAUGCGCAGAUAUCAGGAAGAACACCGAUGGCGAAGGCAGGUCUCUGGGCCAUAACUGACGCUGAGGAGCGAAAGCGUGGGGAGCGAACAGGAUUAGAUACCCUGGUAGUCCACGCCGUAAACGGUGGGCGCUAGGUGUGGGGAUUGUUUCCACGAUCUCCGUGCCGUAGCUAACGCAUUAAGCGCCCCGCCUGGGGAGUACGG
Molecule: ribosomal RNA, 646 nt
Filed under: uncultured Actinomycetes bacterium
Lineage: Bacteria; Bacillati; Actinomycetota; Actinomycetes
Description: bacterial SSU rRNA
Rfam family: Bacterial small subunit ribosomal RNA
Source: RNAcentral